GUUUAAGUCCUGGCGAAAAUAUAAUAUUGUCAGCAAAAAGCCUAAAAAAUCAAUUGAGCCGGUGUUGGAAUCCGAGGAAUUACUUUUCGUUCAACCAGAGAGAGAGGUCCGCGAGAGACGACAUUCAGAAAGACGUCGCUCGAGCGUCGCACCUAAACAUAUGUUUGAAGAGUUACCCACAUUCCACAUGAAAUCGGGGCGAGAAUAUGUCACAAAGAUGCCAAUGCAACCAUUAGCCCAGGUUGUUUGUUCGUUCAUUAUAAUAGAUUAUAAAGAUUAUGUGAAGUGUUAAUACCACUUUAUAAUGCCUUGG
Molecule: long non-coding RNA, 313 nt
Filed under: Laticauda laticaudata (blue-ringed sea krait)
Lineage: Eukaryota; Metazoa; Chordata; Lepidosauria; Squamata; Elapidae
Description: lncRNA (ENSLLTG00000015898.1)
Source: RNAcentral